AGCAGUAGCCACGGUAAUACGAAGGGGGCUAGCGUUGCUCGGAAUCACUGGGCGUAAAGGGUGCGUAGGCGGGUCUUUAAGUCAGGGGUGAAAUCCUGGAGCUCAACUCCAGAACUGCCUUUGAUACUGAAGAUCUUGAGUUCGGGAGAGGUGAGUGGAAUUCCGAGUGUAGAGGUGAAAUUCGUAGAUAUUCGGAAGAACACCAGUGGCGAAGGCGGCUCACUGGACUGGUAUUGACGCUGAGGUGCGAAAGCGUGGGGAGCAAACAGGAUUAGAUACCCGUGUAGUCCCUGUCUCUUAUAA
Molecule: ribosomal RNA, 303 nt
Filed under: uncultured bacterium
Lineage: Bacteria
Description: partial 16S ribosomal RNA
Rfam family: Bacterial small subunit ribosomal RNA
Source: RNAcentral